This 7973-nucleotide long non-coding RNA is filed under the name Triticum aestivum (bread wheat). RNAcentral describes it as "long non-coding RNA (TAES_LNC012119)". The record is from RNAcentral. Lineage: Eukaryota; Viridiplantae; Streptophyta; Magnoliopsida; Poales; Poaceae.
UGAUCUUGAGAAGGAUCAUUCAGUUUGUGAUGUGGUCACGAGGUGAUCAUGUGGAUAUUCCGUUUGUGAUCUGUGAGUGAUCACCGUUUUUGUUUUGGUCACGAGGUGAUCGAGAUGGUAUAUUGCUUGGCCGGUUAUCCAAGUGUGAGAUGGUUCAUGUGGUACUUGAGCUCUGAGAUGAUGGCUUAUCAGUAUUCUAGUAGUUCAUAUCGUGGUUAUUAGUUGCUUCAUUAUGGUAGUUGUUAAUUUAAUUAACCUGCUUAAUGCUAUGUUAUUGUCUUGCCUUGAUGUUUUUGGUUGUUGUGAACUUGCAAGUACAUUCAAUGUACUGACCUGGUGUGUCAUGCCAGAUUGCAGGUGAUGUCGUGAUUGCUUGAUUGCUUGUACUGGUUUCCGUUCGUGCGAGCUAGAUCAUGUCCCAGCCAGAGUCCCUGCAGAGUGGAGUUCACUACCUUCGUAGUUGUUCCACUGCUAGAAGAUUUCUGCUGCUACGAGUUGUUCUACUGCUAGCAUAGAGCAAGUGUAGUAUCGCAGGCAUAGUGUCGCCAUGCUGAUGUGAACCUUUGUAACAUCAGAUCUUUGUGUUUAUUUUUGUAAUAAGAGCUGAUUUGUUCUAUGUCAAGCAGUGCCGUAUUCCAGAGACUUCUACUCGAUGUCUAGGCUAGAAUACGAGGCGUUCCGGUUUCUCUGAGACGGGGUGCCUAAUGCUUGGUAUCAGAGCAGGUCUAGCUGUAGGACGACCUAGUCAGCGUGAGUGGUAGAAACCGGUAGAAAUCAGUAGUAUAGAGUCUAGCUUGAUGAUUGCAUUUGGUUGCUGCAUUUGUUUUUUGCAUAGCAUGCAUAUAGCCUAAGUAUUUGUGACAAUGGUUUAUCUAGUGAGUGUAGCUGGCAUCGGUUCGAAUCCACUACAGCUCAACCUUUGCAUUUCUCCAAUUCCUUUUUCUUUUGGUGUUUGGUGUCAUUUCUGUCCCAGCAGAGUGAUGCCAAGUUAUCCCGACACUGUUUGCAAAAAUGGUGCUCAGGUAUCGCGCCGAUGUUUUUCUUUCGGUCAUGUCUAUCGUUUCAGUGAUGGACAUGCUUAUAUCCCGGAUCAUUCUUUUAUUUUGUCGUGUUGGCAACCCUUAAUGAUCUUAGUUAUCAAGAAAGGGCAAUGUCAGCAGCCUCUGUUUUCCCCUGCUAUCCUAUUUCUUGGACGAGUAUGGAUCUUUCUCCGCCCGUUUGAUAAUAAUGUGGUUGCGACCUUCGUGUCCCACUACAUGAUUACCGAGUAAGUCCUCACCUUCGAGCUAGUUCAGGUUGCCACCUGGCUAAGCUAACACUUGGUGUAGCGAUGUUUACACCAACUCUUCCACACAUUUAUUCGUCCUCGUGCACAUCGUCACAACAUGCUAGAUCGUAGAACCGGAGAUCCCGCGAGAUUUGUGUAGGCAUUCAUAUUGUGUGACUAGCAGUAAUAUGUGACAUUGAUUGUGUGUGAAUUGAUUGUUGCUGUGUGCUUUUGUUUAGUUGAGUUUUUGCUUCUUUCUUUUUGGGCCCCGGUGUUACAUUAUUUUUUCCCCAUAAAGAGUUGCUCAUCCACCGAUGCCGUACUUGAAGAAGCAAUAAGGAUUUCAAAUAUUUGGAAGAAGCUCAGCUAAACAUUAUGGUCUACCCAGUCAACUGCAUUAUGGCAUUAAUAUCUGCUCAGGAUACCAACGGUGUCUUGGAUUGAUGAUCAGCAUCGAGUCCACAUCAAUACAAAAUCCUCACAGCAGUUAUGAUCUAGCAAGGAGAAAAACAAGUCACGUACAAGGUCAACGGUAUAUUUUCAGACAGAGGUAUGGACCAUAUACAAAGUUUUGGCUCAAUAAUGCAUGAUGAUUGAAAUAUGUUAUCAUCCAAAAUAAAGUCAGAAUGUGAUAUGCUCAAGGAAGAAAGUCCAACCAUUUUUUUCUCAUGCAAAUAAUCAGCCUCAGAAUAUUAUAGGCGUGUGUAUGGAUUUCAGUCUGCAUAUCAGUAUGAAGUUUUGGACAUAAGAAACCCAUUAUUCUUCCACACGCUAUUAGAAGAAAUUUAUGAUGCAAGGCUCCUAAAUUUUUCCUCAGCAUGAUAUGUGAACAAUUUUCGGUCCAUGAUACCCAGUCUUUCUCAGCAAGAUACCUCGGUAAAAGCUUCUGACAGACGGAAAUGAAAUUUUCUCAACAAGCAAACCCGAGGAGAAGCUUCUCAAGUACGGAACUCAGGCUUCUCCAGCACAAUACUCAGGACAAGCUUCAUGUGUAAGCUAUAGAGCCUUCUUCUGCAUGAUACCCAGACAAAAGAUUUGAGUAGAAGUUAACGAGUCCUCCUCAGCAAGCUACUCGGAUGGCUUCUCUCGUAAGCCACCCAGUCUGCGUCAGUACCACAAUAUUGCACCGUCCUCAGAUAUUAUAUGAUGAGUUGCCAAUAUAUGGCAGCACCACUCAAGAACUAGACUUGCAAUAAUUUUUUCAGAGGUACAAUUCAGUCAAAACAUAUGCCUACCGCAAGGAUUGAGUGUUCGGUAGCAUAUCCUUCUUAUAUAUGGUGAGCAUGUAUCCCCAGUCAUAUCAGUAACUCAUACGAGAUGCGGCAAAGAUCCAGCAGAUAUACCUAAGGAAAGUAGGGACCCCACAACCUCCCGAGUUAGGCAAAGGAAAAUAAGCAGAGACACAUCUCAUGAAUUACAAGGAUCGACAAUAUCUAGAUAUGAUAUCACAGAAUCAACAGUCUUGACAAUGGUCAUCAAGGUCAUUAUUCCCGCAAUUGACAAGGUGAUGUCAUAAAACCUUGUCACCUUCUUGUAUGAUUGGCCUUAGCAAUGAGCUCCAUACAACUACAAACCUCGGGCAUAUAUCAUAUGUGUGCGGACCCAAGUCAGAAAACAAGCACAAGGAAUAAUGUCAAAAAUAUUGCACUAAUCACGUCCAUGGUCAUACGAAGAAUCAAGAACAUGUGUGGCCAAGUUAUUUCAGUAAGGUAUCCUAACAAGGAAAAUCAUGACCGGCAAAGUGUGAGACUGACAGCGAAAGUAUGAUGAUUUUUUGCACGACCAUCAGGGUCCGGAUACCCAAGUCGGAUGGAGGCCAUAAUUCCAUAUGGAUCCACAAAGGCAUACUCUCAGCGGCCUACUCUAUUUACAAGGAUUUUCAUAUCCCACUGACCCGUUUGACAUGGUUAGUGUGGAAUAUCCAAGUUUGCCCUGUCAGACCCAAGAUUCCUUUGCAACCUUAGCAGUUUGACCUCAGCAGCAGUGUUAAAGCAUACCACAGUCUAUUACCACAGAUGGGUAUAUCGACCACAUGAGGAAAAAAAUCAAAAAGCCGAACAAUCGGCUUAGACUCGGUAUACUCACCGACGGAAUCAAGUACACGGUCAGUCUGUCAGUAAAAUCAUGUGUCCGUUAGCCACCAGUCGGGCCAGUCUCAAGAUGUAAAUAUUUGAGGUACGACAGAGCUAUAACUCCAUACACCGUUAUAUUGCUCACUCUAGAAGACAGUCAAAUCUCUGGUAUAUGCCACAUGCUCGGGCCAAGGGAAUAAAUCAAAAUAAAUUAGUACCACCUAUGAGAUGUCAGAUCCCAUCAGGAGAAUGGCCAUGAUUAAUUCUCAACAUUUAUUGAACCCAGAAGGCCUGCAUUUAUUUGAAGCAACCCCAUGGCGGAAGUAAAAAGGUUUUCAUGACCAAAGGAAAAUUUAUACUCAGAUCCAUUGGAUAUCACCGCAGAUAUGAGAAAAUUCACGUCAACAAAAAGAUUUGGUAUGUGAGCAAAAAUCCGUCAGAAUUUGUGGAAAGGUGAAGCAAACCACCCUAGAGCAAGGUAAGUUGAUCAUCUGAAAUUCUUGUAGGAACAAUAAAUAAAGGAAAAAGGAUACCCGAGUUGGAAACGGAGUCCUCAAGUCAUACUUGUUCCCUGAGCAACCAAAUCUCGAGGAUGAGAUUUCUUUAAGGGGGAAGGUUUGUAACAGCCUGAUUUUUGGCCCUUCCCUUUUUCUUUUGAUUUAUUUUUGUUUUGAUCUGCUUCUCUUUUUGGAGUGGUUCUGUGGCCUUGCCACCUGGGAAAUCAUCCUCAUUCCCCCUCCCAAGUGGCUCAUCAUUCUCAAAACCUUGCCAAGAUCAUGUCACUUCACUCUUUGACCAAACCCUAAAAUUCUUUUCUAGGGAAUAUUCCUUUUUCUAUUAAAGGAAUAACCCUAUCUGCCCUAGGUUGUGAAGCAACCUAUAUUUCUGUCCAUCCAAAAAUUCCCAAUUAAUUCUCAAAAUCCCUUUGGGUCAUAUGUUGAUCAAAUAUGCCCAAACUUUCCUAUCCUAGCUCAAUAAUAAUUCCCCAAUAAUUAUUCUUCCUUUCUGCCCUAAAUGGCACUUUGUGAAGGAAGUGUCAUUUAUGUUUUUCCUAGUGGCUCCCAACCUUUUUGGGCAUGCUUAUAUGUCCAAAUAAUUGCCUCAUGCACAAGUUUAACCUUAUUUGCAUAGCCAACCUUCCUCAGUGAUUUUUUCAAAGUUUCUGUCAGACAGAAGGCUUUGUGAAGGAAACUAGCUAGGAGUAUCCAAAUGAGUUGAACUUUUGCACACUACUUAAUGUAAUCAUAUUAACCCCCUCCACCCAUUUUCAGCCCCAUCCAACUAUCUAUGUGAGCACAGGAGCAAAUCUUUGAUUUUGGCAAUAUUUUCAGGUCAUGAAGCAAGUGUAUUUUAUAUUGCUUCAAAAAUCCUGAUAAAUUACCAGAUCAUUCUUACACCCAUAAAACCUCUCUCCACCCAAUUUGGCAUCAUUUCAUUGAUCCAUUUAUCACCAAAAUUAUUCCAAGUUUCUGGACAGAAAUAAUGUUUGUGAAGUAAGUGCCAUUUUGGCUUGUCCAUUUGGCAUGAGCUUUUUACAACAUCUUCAUAUGUCCAAAUAAUCAAGAUUUUCCCAAUCUUAGCCCAAGUUGAUACUCUAUGUGAGAGAAUCAUCAUGAUCUUCAUUUAUGGACCAAAAAUGCAGUUGUGAAGCAACUAUAUUCAUUCUUGGUCCAUUUCUCCUCAAACUCCCCAAGACUGUAGUCCUUCCUAGCCUAAACACCCCAGACAUAACACUUGACACAUAGCAUCUAUCUGUUGAUCACACUUGGUUGAUAAAGUUUACUGCAGUAAACUUCAGAGCUCACUUACCAUUUAACCAGAGCAGUUUUCACUGAGUUACCACCUCGGUUGCAACCUACCCAGGAAGGACUAACCCCUAGACAUCAUUUGUGACCUGUUUGCCUCCCACACAUGCCAGUACUGGUGGUAACCAUUGUUUUGGCAUGCAAUGAUUGCGUCCAGAACGUAUUCUUGCUCGGGCCCCUCCUCUGCUCGGCAUCUUAGCGAGCACGGGCUUGUCCAGCGUGUUCCCCGUGUCGUUGCCAUCCUCCUGGAGCCAUCUCCCACUCCGUUAGCCCCUCUGUCAGCACUCGUCACCGUGCGCCCACGGGAAAUCUGUAGCCAACCGGCUCUGUUCGCAUCGCGGCCUCUUCCUCCUCUUGUCCUCGCGCUUUGCUCGUCCCUGUGCCCCUCUGUAGCUCAUCCGCACCUCCCUCGUCGCCUUCUCGGGCCACCCCGUGCUCGCUGAGCCUCGCCAGAGCGUCGGCCGGAUGUGCACGACGGUACCCGAGCCCGUGCGCCUCGCCCCGGCUAUAUAUAGACCUCCCUGAGCCGUUAGACCUCACCACCAGCUUCACCUCUCGGCUAGCAACUUCCCCAGCCUGUCGUUUGAGCUCGAGCUGCUCCCAUGCUCUUCCAUCACCGCCUCAGCCGCCGCCUCGGGUCCCUCCGAUUCCGGCGACCAUGGCCAUCUCCCUCCACCCCACCACCUCUAGCCAUCUCCUCCACCACCAGUACGCCGCCCCAGAACCUCUUCCCCUCCUCGGGUGGCCUCCUGUCGUCGGUUCGCCGGUGCCCGAAGCUCUCCUCCGCCGUGUCCCAUGCCCCGCCCCUCCCGGUGAUCCUCGGUGCCUUCCACGACCGAGAAUGGGUGCGGCUCAUUAUCCUGAGCUCGCACGUAGGUCACACGGCCCGAGAGGUGGCCGGAGUCGGCCAGACUCAUCACCAGAGCGCUCGGCCCUGCCUCUGCCUCAGUUCACCGUUGGGAGAAGGAGAGAGGAAGAAUAGAAGGGAGGAGGAGAGAGAAGUGGAUAGGGUGGGACCCACCUGUCAACCACACAAGGGCCGGCCCCGCCACUGCCAUGCUAUAUAAGUGGAAGCGUAGUUCCUGGAAUACGCUUUCAGUUUUUCUGUUUUGGCCCAGUCUGUAAAAUUUUCUAUUACAGCUAGGUCCCUGGUAGAAAAACUAUCAUAACUUCUUGAUCCUAACUCCAAAUGAGGUGAUUCCAAAGCCCGCUUCUUCGUCUCGUCGAGCCCGUUCUGUUCGUCACACUUUCACCAUGUUUUGACAUUCUGAAAAUGACCAUUAUGCCCUUUCCCUUAUUCAGCCCCCUCCGAGAGAGUGCGUUUUCCGGCGAUCUGUUCCGUGAGUUUCUCGCACUUUCUCCCGGUGAUUUCUUCCACCCCAGGCAAGCACACCAUCCAUUUGAAUCAUUGUAAUGUAGCGACAUGGUUUAAUCUAUUUGAAUUUGUUUAAAAUAUUGCUUUAGCUACAUGACUCUGUGCAUGGCAUUUUCUUAGAGUUUUAUUUUGAUCUUGUUGUUGCCAUGCUAUUGUUUGGAUUACUAGGAGUUAUGUUUGAAGUUGAUGAGUAUCAUGUUGCUAUUGGAGUAUUAGUGGUGGAUAUUAUGAUUGUUUUCAUGAUGAUAUCUGUUAUUAUAUUUUGGAGUAUUACUUCGGAUGUCAUGCUGCCUUUGGAUUAUUAGUGGUUAGUAUGAUUAUUUUCAUGAUGCUAGUUGAUGUUUUGUUACUAUUGCUUGGAGUAUUAAUUUCGGAGAUGAUGUUUACGUGUGGAUCUUAGCUGGAUAGCUUUGUUCUUGUUAUUGGAGUAGUAGAGUUAUUGUUUUCAGAUUCAUCAUGGUAGAAAUGUUAUGCUUUCCUUGGAGUAUUUUGACAUGAUGAUAUUAUGCUUAGAUUAUUUGUUGGAUAUUGCUAUGACCUGGAUUAUAGUUUGAUAAUUGAUAUCGGAGUAUCAGUUAUCAUAGUUAUAUUUUUGGGGAUAAAUUCCGUAAUUAAGUUGGUCGGGUGCCACCGAACCGGGCUUUCUUCAGUGCAACCACAUUUGCCUUUAUGGGAAGGCCUUAAUGCGAUGCUAUUGCCAUGUCUCUUGCCGGUGCCUCCAACGAGGGAAGGUUAUGGGCGCGCGCUACCCUGAUCAGGUAGGCGGACAUAAGCCUUGUGUGUCCGUAGUUGGAUUUUGCGCUCUUUUGUCCCCGUUUGGGACCGUCUUUUUUUGCCACGACGGUGGUUGUUGGUGGCUUUGGUAGGCACGGGGCCACCCAGGACUGAACCCAAAGGGGGUGUUGGUCGGAGUGGUUGGGAGAGUGUCAUGGCAGUAGAUCAAUUUUGUUGGAACGCCGUUGGUCCACCCGAAUGGGAGUGCGAGGCCAUGGAUUCCAUGGUGUGGGUACAGUGCGCUACCUCUGUAGAGUGUGUGUUUAAGCUAUGGAUAGCCGCGUCCGUAAUAGGUCACACCGUUCGAUCAACACUCACAUGACGGAAUAACUUAUAGUUGAUUUAUAUGAUAUAUGUGAGUAGUAACAGUUUGGCAGGAUGUUGAUGAUGAUGUUGGAAUGAUCUUGAGAAGGAUCAUUCAGUUUGUGAUGUGGUCACGAGGUGAUCAUGUGGAUGUUCUGUUUGUGAUCCGUGAGUGAUCACCGUUUUUGUUUUGGUCACGAGGUGAUCGAGAUGGUAUAUUGCUUGGCCGGUUAGCCAAGUAUGAGAUGGUUCAUGUGGUACUUGAGAUCUGAGAUGAUGGCUUAUCAGUAUUCUAGUAGUUCAUAUCAUGGUUAUUAGUUGCUUCAUUAUGGUAGCUGUUAAUUUAAUUAACCAGCUUAAUGCUAUGUUAUUGUCUU